Carassius carassius (crucian carp) is the source of this 318-nucleotide long non-coding RNA. RefSeq lists it as uncharacterized. The record is from RefSeq and is a predicted model, not a curated record. Lineage: Eukaryota; Metazoa; Chordata; Actinopteri; Cypriniformes; Cyprinidae. The transcript is spliced from 2 exons.
CACACUGGAAGAUGAGGCUACUAUUGGGCCGAUUUUUGUCCGUGAACGGCUGUCAAUGGAGGAUGAGCCUCUACUGCAAAUUCACAAGUCCUCUCAGGUGUCGUCAGGUCACCAUGUGGACAUCAUUCAGAAAAAUCUGGAUCUUGCAGACCCCAAAGUUUUGAACGAGUUCUCCAUGGAGUUGGUGCUCAUGGCUGGUUUGGUGGUUGCAGUUGGACUUUUGUGUGUCAUUAUCCUUGGAAAGUUGCUUUACCAAAGGUGGCAGAAAUGACUUGUGUUGACUUGUGAAUGAUGAUGAUAAAAGCGGUUUUAUCUAAA